RNAcentral lists this small nuclear RNA (83 nucleotides) under Echinops telfairi (small Madagascar hedgehog). RNAcentral describes it as "U4 spliceosomal RNA (ENSETEG00000026578.1)". It matches the Rfam family "U4 spliceosomal RNA". Rfam says of the family: U4 small nuclear RNA (U4 snRNA) is a component of the major U2-dependent spliceosome. The record is from RNAcentral. Lineage: Eukaryota; Metazoa; Chordata; Mammalia; Afrosoricida; Tenrecidae.
AGCUUUGCGCAGUGGUAAUAUCUUAGCCAGUGAGGUUUAUCCGAGGCGCAAUUGUUGCUAAUUUGAAAAGAACAAUUUGAUCA